GACGAACGCUGGCGGCGUGCCUAAUACAUGCAAGUUGAGCGCUGAAGGUUGGUACUUGUACCAACUGGAUGAGCAGCGAACGGGUGAGUAACGCGUGGGGAAUCUGCCUUUGAGCGGGGGACAACAUUUGGAAACGAAUGCUAAUACCGCAUAAAAACUUUAAACACAAGUUUUAAGUUUGAAAGAUGCAAUUGCAUCACUCAAAGAUGAUCCCGCGUUGUAUUAGCUAGUUGGUGAGGUAAAGGCUCACCAAGGCGAUGAUACAUAGCCGACCUGAGAGGGUGAUCGGCCACAUUGGGACGGAGACACGACCCAAACUCCUACGGGAGGCAGCAGUAGGGAAUCUUCGGCAAUGGACGAAAGUCUGACCGAGCAACGCCGCGUGAGUGAAGAAGGUUUUCGGGUCGUAAAACUCUGUUGGUAGAGAAGAACGUUGGUGAGAGUGGAAAGCUCAUCAAGUGACGGUAACUACCCAGAAAGGGACGGCUAACUACGUG
RNAcentral lists this ribosomal RNA (497 nucleotides) under uncultured bacterium. Its description in RNAcentral is "partial 16S ribosomal RNA". It matches the Rfam family "Bacterial small subunit ribosomal RNA", at positions 28 to 507 of the family's 1533-position model. The record is from RNAcentral.